RNAcentral lists this ribosomal RNA (232 nucleotides) under uncultured bacterium. RNAcentral describes it as "partial 16S ribosomal RNA". It matches the Rfam family "Bacterial small subunit ribosomal RNA", at positions 99 to 334 of the family's 1533-position model. The record is from RNAcentral.
CGGACGGGUGAGUAAUGUCUGGGAAACUGCCUGAUGGAGGGGGAUAACUACUGGAAACGGUAGCUAAUACCGCAUAGCGUCGCAAGACCAAAGAGGGGGACCCUCGGGCCUCUUGCCAUCGGAUGUGCCCAGAUGGGAUUAGCUAGUAGGUGGGGUAACGGCUCACCUAGGCGACGAUCCCUAGCUGGUCUGAGAGGAUGACCAGCCACACUGGAACUGAGACACGGUCCAG